GUACCUACGGGGGGCAGCAGUGGGGGAUAUUGCACAAUGGGGGCAACCCUGAUGCAGCGACGCCGCGUGAGCGAUGGAGUACUUCGGUAUGUAAAGCUCUGUCAGCAGGGAAGAGAAUGACGGUACCUGACCAAGAAGCCCCGGCUAAAUACGUGCCAGCAGCCGCGGUAAUACGUAUGGGGGCAAGCGUUAUCCGGAUUUACUGGGUGUAAAGGGAGCGUAGACGGUGCAGCAAGUCUGAUGUGAAAGGUCGGGGCCCAACCCCGGGACUGCAUUGGAAACUGUUGAACUGGAGUACAGGAGAG
Molecule: ribosomal RNA, 305 nt
Filed under: uncultured bacterium
Lineage: Bacteria
Description: bacterial SSU rRNA
Rfam family: Bacterial small subunit ribosomal RNA
Source: RNAcentral